UGCAGAAUCCCGUGAACCAUCGAGUCUUUGAACGCAAGUUGCGCCCGAGGGACUCUCCCGAGGGCACGCCUGCCUCAUGGGCGUUAGAAGCCCAUCCACGCUCGGUUGCCUCACGGCAGAGAUGCGGACAUUGGCCCUCCGAACCGCGAGGUGCGGUGGGCCUAAGUGUGCGGCCGUCGUACGUGGCCGGGAGCGGCGAGUGGUGGGCUACUGCGCACGUCGCCCCGAGCUCCGUACCGACACAAGGCCUUGUUCGACCCCCUAACGAGGAGCAUGCCGUCGCGGCCUGCGCCGCGCGGCGUCUUCGGACCGAUACCCCAGGUCAGGCGGGGCUACCCGCCGAGUUUAAGCAUAUAAAUAAGCGGAGGAGAAGAAACUUACAAGGAUUCCCCUAGUAACGGCGAGCGAACCGGGAGCAGCCCAGCCUUAGAAUCGCGGCGGCACUGNCGCCCGA
Molecule: ribosomal RNA, 454 nt
Filed under: Carex rupestris
Lineage: Eukaryota; Viridiplantae; Streptophyta; Magnoliopsida; Poales; Cyperaceae
Description: eukaryotic LSU rRNA
Rfam family: Eukaryotic large subunit ribosomal RNA (bases 313-454)
Source: RNAcentral